GAUCAAUUUAGACCUUUCUCUCUCCGCGGAGUUUAGAGUCGAGAUUACAGCUCGUAAUCCCAACGAAAAAAUCGGGAUUUACUACGAAAAAGGAGGUCAUAUCGGUGUAUGGUACGACAAAACAAAGCUUUGCGAGGGGCCUAUACCGAGGUUUUAUCAAGGGCAUCGCAAUGUGACUAAACUAAAUGUGGCUCUAACAGGAAGAGCACAAUACGGGAACACUAUAUUGACGGCUUUACAGCAGCAGCAACAGACCGGACGUGUCCCAUUAGAUCUUAAAGUGAAUGCACCUGUUGCAGUAAAACUCGGGAAAUUGAAGAUGAAGAAGAUUCGGAUAUUGGGGAAUUGUAAGCUUGUUGUUGAUAGCUUAUCAACAAACAAUAAUAUCAACAUCAAAGCUAGUGAUUGUAGUUUUAAAGUCAAACUAUGAGAUGUUCUUAGUUCUAGGCUUUUAUUGUUUACUCGUGUCACUCAAUUCAUUAUUCACUUAUACAUUUGAUUUAUGUUCUGAAUUUCUGGUUUUAAACUAAUAAGAUGGAAAGAGUAAAAAUUGUAUGAUAUUAAAACCCAAAAUUUAGUUAAGAAAAGGAAAAAAAAUUAGUAAUACGAAACAUUAGACAAAAUACAUCGUUGUUCGUGUCACAAUUAAACAUUUGAAAUAUUUAUUACAUCUGAGCCAACUUGUAAAUGGCCUAAGAACUUUACUUUUCUGGGCAUUUUUGAUUUUUCCUCAAAUGAAAUAAAACUUUGUCUAUGAAAUGUGACAAUAAACAUUUUCAAGAUUAGAGAGUGCCUUCAAUUGAUGCAAAACCUUGCAGAUAACAAAUGUCAUAGAAUCUGUUAUCUUAUUAAAUCUGUUGUCUUUUUUUUUUUAAUCUUUUCGAGUUAACGUUGAUCAUUGAUUCUUGAAGCACAGAAUGUAAGUGCAUGCUUCAGCGGAGACUGAACAUAAAUAAAAGUGUCAAGAUUUCAGAAUUGCUGGAACAAGAUCGAAGUUGUUUUAGUGAGACGAAAUAUUGAAGAAGCAUUAAUUGAUGACGUGGACUAUGUGAUGCACUCAAUAUACUAAUGGAGAUAUUCUUACUUGUUGUGGAAGAUUCGUGCAACCGAAUAUCUACAAGAUUUGGAGGAUAUGAUUAAAUCAAGAAAAAAGGAAAACUGAUAUUAUCGGGGUAGGCAAACCUAGACGAUAUCUUAACCCACAAAUAUAAAAGGGAUGGAGGAGGUGUUUAUGAGGUUAAGCCGUUUGUGAGAGAAGAAUUCGUUCAUAAGAUUUUCUAUUUUAGAGAGUACGAGUUAACGUAGAAAACAAGUUAUGUAUUGUCUCUUCUUUAGUUUAGUUUAGAAAUCGUUUUGCCCUCAAGCUAAGAAGGUGUUCUAAGGCUGUGAGUAAGUCCAAUUAAGAGUAUGUAAUCAUCUCAAAGAUUUCUAAUAAAAGUUGAUACUUGGUGCGCCAAGUUUUGGGAUUUCUUGUGUUUAUGUGUCCAUCUCGUUUUUUCACUUGGUAUCAGAGCAUGCAUCUUAACUGAGUUUUUACUCAACAAGGUAAAUAUCCUGUAAAGGAAGAUGGACGCAUCACGAGAGGUAGCUUUUGUGCAACGAUCAAUCAUGCUUGGAGAAACAAACUAUGGUCGUUGGAAAGUCAAGAUGCGGCAUAAUAUUCGAAGUAUUAGUGAUAAUGCUUGGACUGCGGUUGAAACUGGUUGGACUGAACCAUAUGUGAAAGGUGAAGAUGGAGAAGACGUGCCAAAGCCUAAUGAUAAGUGGACCGAUGAUGAGAAAAAAUUGUCCAAGAUGAAUUCAAGAGCGUUGACUGCGAUCAAGAACCCAAAUAUAAAGAAUCCUGACGGAACGAUAAAUCAAGCUAUUGUUAUAAAAGUAACCUUGAUUUGGCAUUUAGAAAACUCAGCAACUCAAAAUCACCUCUUACACCAAAUUGAUAAGAAAAAGUCAUUAUUUCAUAUAUUUCCAGAAAAGAAAUAACAAAAAAUAUGUCAUCACUGUGAGAGGGUAUUUUUUUUGUGAUUUCCUUUAUGGAAAUAUCGAGAAUGGUUAACUUUUUAUUAAUUUGGCUCAACAGGAUACUCUGAGCUGCAAAGUUUUCGGAUUGCCAAUUUACGGUUGCUCUCGCAUCAUUGAUUUGCUUCACUGUUCCAUCAAAAUUCUUUAUGUUUUCCUUGUAUCCUUAGGUGCUAAGAAUAUAAAGAAAACAAUUAUGAGGUACCAGCUAUGCAAACAGAGGCAACACAAUUCUUUUAUCAAAUAAGUUUCAAGGUGUUUAGAGGUUAUAUUUGACUCUCAAAACUUGACACACAAACUGAAAUGACAAAUGCAAAAGAACUUCAUCUUCUCGCUUCAAUGAUUGAUUAAAAAAGUCUUUUUAAGUCACUCACACACUUUUGUAACUUAAUCAAACUUGAACCUUCACUAAAACUAGCUAAAGGCUGAUCAAUCUAGCCUAAUGGAUUCUGUAUUAAAUCACCAUUUAGAAGAUGAAGUUUUUCAAAGAACAUAUUCAAACAUUAACAUAACCGGUUCAAGCAUUAAAAGAACAUAACACAAACAAUAUACAUCAUUCAAGCAUUUGACGAACAUUGAUCAAAGAAGAAACACACAAAUAUUGAUAAAAUAAGAUAAACAAAAUAAAUCAUAACAUAAGAACUCACAACAAAUUUCUAAAUCAAUAUUAAUAUGAUUUACCGAGGAUAUAAACCUUCUCUACCCUUGUCCCUAAGUUAUAGAUGAGCUAAACAUGACUUCUCUCUCCUAACAAAUCAAAGGUCAUUGUUACAUAUCCAUUACUUUUGCUAGUAACAUCACAAAGGGAGUAAUUUAAUUCAACCCUAUCACUAGAAAUUUAAUAUAAUUUUGGAAUUGUGAAGAGAAAUCUAGAUUUAACAUAAACAAAGAAUAAAUACCAGAGAUAUAAUAAACUAAAAUCGAGAUUGUGUGCUCAUGAUAGAAACCAAAGAGAAUCCAUUCGAUUUCAAAAGCAUUAAAGUUAACGCAGAUUACAUCACACAAUAGUUAAAGAUCGAAAGCUCUUACCUUUUGAUAUGAACUAAGAUCCUUCACUAUCCUUACGACUCUGAUUGAGGGGAAAACAAAGACAGAUCGGUUGCUAGGUUGCAGAGCAAACAUCGGAUUCAGACACAAAUCAGUCGGAUUCAGAUUCAAACCUUUGAUGGUAUCGUCAUCAACGAGAGUCUACAAAGGGAGAAAGAGGUGGAGAAAAUUUUGCCCAGAAGAGAGAAAGAUAACACAACAAAUUUUUUUUUUGUCUUUUGUUAAAUUUAGGCCAUCCACUCACGUGAUGACACGACAACGAUUCUAAGAUUUUCUAAAAGAGAAAAUUGUAAAGAGUGCCAUGAACAGUGAUAAAACUUAUAUGGAAUGCCAUUUCAAAAAACCUCUUCUCCCGCCUGCCACAAGAGUUCUGUAUAAAGACCGACGUACCCCUGGAUGAAUUGGCUGCUCUGUGUUGUGACUGUUCAUUUUUUUUCAUUAUCUCUUUCUCUUCUUCAUCUUCUUCUUCUUCUUCUUCUUCCAACAACAAACAAUUUCAGCGGACCAGAUCCGACGGACGAACUCCGGCGGACCAAAUCAGGCGGACCAGAUUCGACAGACCAGAUCCGGCGGACCAUAUUCGACAGACCAGAUCCGGCGGACCAUAUUCGACAGACCAGAUCCGGCGGACCAUAGCAAUUCUGGUCCAGAUUCGGCAGACAAGAUUCAACGGACCAGUUCCGACAAACCAUAACUCCAGCGGACGAGUUCUGGUAGACCACAGUCAGUUCUAAUGAACUAUAACCAGUUCAAGCAGAACAUAUUCGGCGGACCAGUUUCGAC
RNAcentral lists this long non-coding RNA (3849 nucleotides) under Capsella rubella. RNAcentral's name for it is "long non-coding RNA (CRUB_LNC004173)". Lineage: Eukaryota; Viridiplantae; Streptophyta; Magnoliopsida; Brassicales; Brassicaceae. The record is from RNAcentral.